RNAcentral lists this transfer RNA (72 nucleotides) under Cavia porcellus (domestic guinea pig). It matches the Rfam family "tRNA". From Rfam's summary of the family: Transfer RNA (tRNA) molecules are approximately 80 nucleotides in length. Lineage: Eukaryota; Metazoa; Chordata; Mammalia; Rodentia; Caviidae. The record is from Rfam by way of RNAcentral.
UGGGGUGUAGCUCAGUGGUGGAGCAUUUAUCUAGCAUACCCAAAGCCCUGGUUUUGAUUCCCAGCACUGCAG